Molecule: long non-coding RNA, 391 nt
Organism: Zophobas morio
Lineage: Eukaryota; Metazoa; Arthropoda; Insecta; Coleoptera; Tenebrionidae
Exons: 4
Source: RefSeq, a predicted model, not a curated record
GGCUGGCUUAUUUUAGUAGCAGCUGGACUUCAUAAGUUUGUGGACGGCGUAGUGAUAGGCGCUUCUUUUAAUUUCUCCUUUUCGAGUGGGCUAUCGUCUUCGAUAGCUAUUAUGUUACACGAAGUCGCUCAUGAAAUUGGUGAUGUUGCUAUACUUAUAGAAAAUGGGUUAAAUAAAUGGCAAGCGCUUUUCGCAAACUUAAUUUCUGGACUUACGGCUUUCUUAGGAGUAUUUGUAGGCUGGCAAAGUGGUGAAAAAAGCGUUCCAUACAUUCUUCUUUUUACUGCUGGUACAUUUCUGUACAUUGCUUUUACCGAAAUGCUGCAUCAGUUAAAUAAUUUCUUGCCGCUAAAUAAAAGUUUAUCUUUUUUUAUAAUUAAUUCUGGAUUCU